Long non-coding RNA from Gallus gallus (chicken), 1437 nucleotides. NCBI's taxonomy places the organism in Eukaryota, Metazoa, Chordata, Aves, Galliformes, Phasianidae. The record is from Ensembl.
UUGGACUGGGUGAUCCUGUGGGUCUUCUCGAACCUUGGUGAUUCUGUGAUUCUAUGAACAGUUCAUUUGUAAGAGACCAACAGAGAUAUGAAGUCCAACUGCUUGACCACUUCAGGGCUAAACAAAAGCUGAAAAGUACUAAUGAGAUCAUUAUCCAAACAGCUCUUGACCACUCACGGCCAUGGAGCUUCAACCACUUCUCUGGGAAGCCUAUUCCAAUGCCUGACCACCCUCACGGUAAAUAAAUGUUUCCUGAUGUCCUGCCUGCUCUGUGCCAUCUCCAUUCUGCCAUCGGCUCCCAGCAGCAGAGCCCAGCACUCCCCUCUCACUGCACUGCAGGGAGCAGUGAGGUCAGCCCUCACCCUCCUCUUCUCCAGGCAGCCCAAUGCCCCCAGCAUUCCUCAGAGGACAUCAUGCCUUCAGCCCUGUCACCAGCUUUGCUGUCCACCUCUGCGUGUUUUCAAGGGCCUAAAUACCUUUCUAUACUGUUGAGCCCAGAACUGCACACAGUAUUCAAGAUGAGGUUGCAUCAAUGCUAAACAGCAGGAAAAUCAUCUCUUUUGACCAGCUGGCUGUGCUGUGUUUGAUGUACCCCAACAUACGGUUUGCCCCUUGGCUGCCUGGAUACAGCACAGGUUCAUGCUGAGCUGCUGUCACCAGCACUCCCACGUGCCGUCCUGCUGAGCUGCUCUCCAGCCACUCUUCCCCAUCUGUACCUGUGUUCAGCACUGUUCUGUCCUGUUCUGUCCCAGGGGCAGAACUCAACACUUUCCUUUGCUGAACUUCAUGCCACUGCCAAUUGCUCAGUGCUCCAAUGUAUCUAGAUCCCUUGGCAAGGCCUCACAUUAUUAAGACAUCAUUAAAAGACAUCAGAGUCAUUGGGAUUUGCAGCCUUCCAUUCACCAUGAUUGAAGAUGGCCAGCAGAUACAAAAGUUAUCAGAAAAUAAUGCUGGAAUUUAGCACCCUAAGAUCUAUUUCUCAGAUGUACUGCUUGGUCCCUUCUCUGUACCAAACUGGAUCUCCUGGAGCACUCUAGCAUCUGUGAGCAGCCACUCGAGUUACUCAUACAGAUCACAGAUCUUUGCCUUGGCAAAGAGUGGGAUCUUCUAGUGCAGUAUUAAGGAAACUGUUCUUUCCCAAAUGCUUGAUAGCUCUCAUUUCCAUUAUUGUUGGGGAUAUGCAUGACAAGUAUACUGAUCCAUUUCUCUACCUUCUCAUCUGGCGUAGGAGCCAUCUUGUUCUUUCCUGUUUAACAGUCAUUUCUUGUCAACGGCUAUUUCAUAAACAGAAGAAGAACUGAGACUUCUUUUAAACAGGGCAAUUAUUUUUCUGAAGCUUUCAGAUGCCACUUCCUGCCUGCAGCACCUAAUAAAGCCUUGAAUUGCACAAAAUAACAUUGCAAGAUGACAGUAAAUUAACCACGCAUGCCUGUGUGU